RNAcentral lists this ribosomal RNA (267 nucleotides) under uncultured prokaryote. RNAcentral's name for it is "partial 16S ribosomal RNA". It matches the Rfam family "Bacterial small subunit ribosomal RNA", at positions 524 to 782 of the family's 1533-position model. The record is from RNAcentral.
UACGUAGGGGACGAGCGUUGUCCGGAAUUACUGGGCGUAAAGGGCGCGCAGGCUGUUAGAUCAAGUCAGCUGUAGAAAGUGUCUCGGGGCUUAACCCGGGCAUGGCGGUUGAAACUGAUGUACUGGAGGUGCUGUAGAGGCAAGUGGAACUCCCAGUGUAGCGGUGAAAUGCGUAGAUAUUGGGAAGAACACCGGUGGCGAAGGCGACUUGGCUGGGCAGCAACUGACGCUGAGGCGCGAAAGCCAGGGGAGCAAACGGGGAUUAGA